AAAAAAAAAGAAGCGUUUUCAUAUAGGAGAGACGUAUCCGAGACGUUUAGGGUUUUGCUGUUCCUCUAGUAGUAGCAACUGAGCUUUGAUUUAUGAUUUUUUUUUUUUUUUUUCUUGGUUUGAAGUCGAUUUUAUUUGGUUUAGUUUGACAUUUAGUUGGUCCAAUAAUUGGUAAACCAUUUGACAUUUUAGUUGGUCCAAUUGUCUUUUUAUUUCUUUUUUUCCUUUGUUUAUGUUUGAAAAAAAAAUAUUGUAUUGAAUUGGUAAGAAAGCGAUGGAUGUGAUCACACAUGGGUGUUUUUGUAUUCAGAACCUCCUCUUCCUAAGCUUGCACUCGCUCGUCUAAGAUAUUGCACAAACUCUUCUUUGCUUUUAUUCUUCAAUCUAUCAUAUCAUUCAAAAUUAAAAUAUCAUAUAUAGUUUAUUAUAGUGUCAAAAAUCAAAACAACAUAUAUAUAUAUAUAUAUUGGCUUGUGUAGUGUAUGACAAGUACGUCAAAGCAAAAGCGUUAUGCAAAUUGCUGUCUUGCAUUUGACCAAAUUCUCCAUAUAACUCAUCAUUAAGCAGCUACAGAUUGGACUUUAAAAACAUGUUUCUUUAGAGUGUUUUGUGUAAAUAUAAAUGAGGAAGGUGGAGAGAAUCUCCCGAAGAUGUUAGAUCAGUUAUGAAGAUUCUGAUCAUAUUUCAACUAGACUACUACAUACACAUUUUGGUUAUAGGUGUAAGAUUAACACACAAAAUAAUUAGUUCAUUGUCAACAUAUUUAUAAUUAGUAUAUGUAUUACAUAUAUAUGAUUGCAAUGUAAAAAAUCGAAUCGUGAAUUAUCUGUCUCUAUCUUCUGUUUUUUUUUUUUCUUUUUUUUUUGGUUCAAUAGGAAUAUUGAAUACUUUCAACCACUUACACUUACUCAUAGGGCCAUACAUUGUCGAGUUGAUUGGGUAAUAUACAAAGUCUAAAAAAUUUGGAAAAAGUAAGGAUAAGAAAUGAGUGAAUGUGGUGAAGAUAGCGCAAAUCAUACGACACAAUACGACAUUGUACUUUUGAAAUAUACAAAUGACGACGACGACGUGUACCAUUCUUGAUUAAUACGAUACUAUAAAAAUUUAAUAGGAGAUAUAAUAAUGAAGCUAGAGAUGUAUAAAUUGAUCAUACCAUUGCCUUACGUUAAUCUACUAACCUCGCGAAUCACUUUACUAUUUUCAGUAUAUUUGUGUUUUUUUUCACUUCGAGAUUAUAUAUCAUCGUUGACGACUUAAGACGACGACGAUUGUAACACCGUCGAGUGCUAUAUCAGGAUCUGCUCAAGGAAGACGAAGAGCUCGAGCUAGAGAGAGAGAGUGAGAGUAAAGAGAGAAUAAAGAGAGAGAAGAAAAAGUUUGUUAUGUAUUUCAUUAAUUGUGUAUCGUGUACAUAGUUCAGUAUUUAUACAAAGUAUACUUGAUCGUAUGUAAACUAUAGUGUAUAGUGUAUUAUACAAAUACCUAAGUAUUAAUACACCUGAUACACCUCCUUCAAACCGAACAAUCCAUUUAUGAAGGAUUGUAUAGGUUUGAUAAAGACAUGCGGCCAAGUAACGAGUGAAAUGGCCUCUGAUGUAAUGGUUUUGUCAAGAUGUCAGCUAGUUGAUUGCCAGACUCCACAUGUAAUGUCUUGAGAUUUCCAAGCUUGAUCUGAUCCCUUGUAGUGUGACAGUCGAUAUCUAUAUGCUUUGUCCUCUCGUGGAAGACUGGAUUGGUAGCAAUAUAGAUUGCCGAUUUGUUGUCGCAGAAGAGCUUGGCUGUGGUUGUGACUGGAACUCUGAAGUCUUUCAAUAGUUGUUGUAUCCAUAAGAUCUCCCUGGUUGCUUCUGCCAUGCUUCUGUAUUCAGCUUCAGUGCUGCUAUGGCUAGCCACCUGUUGUUUCUUGCAUUUCCAAGAGAUUAGUGAUUUCCCAAUGUAAACACAGAAACCACUUAUAGACCUUCUUGUAUUGAUGCAUAUACCCCAGUCUGCAUCAGCAAAGGCAUUAAUACACACAUCAUUGUUAACUGGAUAGAAAAGUCCUUGUCCUGGACUGCCCUUGAUAUACUUGAGUAUUCUGUGAGCUGCAGCCAUAUGCACAUCAGUAGGAAACUGCAAGAAUUGACUCAAAGUAUGCACAGCAAAAGUGAUGUCAGGCCUAGUUAUAGUCAAGUAAAGUAGCCGACCAAUCACCUCCCUGUAUGGUGUUGCAGAAUCCAAAGGUGUGCAUGUAUCCUUAGUUAAAUGCACAUAUGGAUCCAUAGGGACUGGACUAGGUUUACAAGCAAGCAAACCAGCAUUCUCCAAUAGAUCUAAAGCAUAUUUCCUUUGGCAAACUGAGAUUCCCUUUGAAGUUCUGGCUAUUUCUAAACCAAGAAAGAAUCUGAGAGAUCCUAAGUCUUUGAUUUUGAAUGCACUAGCUAGAACAGCUUUAAGUGCAGCAAGAUCAUCAGCAUUAUUACUAGCUAUAGCAAUGUCAUCUACAUAAACUAACACUGCUAUAAAACUGGUUGCUGUGAACUUGAGAAACAGUGUAGUAUCUGAGUAUGAUUGAAUGAAUCCAUCUUUCAACAAUACUGAAGUUAUCAAGCGAUUCCACUGUCUAGAGGCUUGCUUCAAGCCAUAUAUUGACUUAUGAAGGCGGCAAACAGCAUUUUGACGUAAAGAAUGGGAAUUACCUGGAGUGUAUCCUUGAGGUAGACUCAUAUAGAUCUCCUCAUCCAAAGUGCUAUGUAGGAAAGCAUUAGAUACAUCCAUUUGUGAUAGUUCCCAGCCUUCUUUUGCAGCCAAGCCUAACAUAAGUUUGACACUGGUUAGUUUAGCCACUGGAGAGAAAGUCUCAUUGAAAUCAACUCCUUCCUGUUGUGUGUAGCCUUUGGCUACUAACCGUGCCUUAUAUCUCUCUACUGUACCAUCAGACUUAUAUUUGAUGGUAAACACCCAUUUGCAGCCAACUACAUUCUUGCCAGGUGGUAGAGAUACUAUGCUCCAUGUUCCAUUAGAUUCCAUAGCCUGUAGUUCAUCAUUGCAUGCCCCUUUCCAUUUAUCAGAUGACAUAGCUUCCUUAAAGGUUUUAGGCUCAGUUUCCAUAGAAUAGGAUAAGAUAUAUGAACAAUAAUGGGGUUUAAAAAGAUCAUAGGAUAAUACUGAUGAUAAUGGAUAAGGUGUUGUAUGGCCUGGGGGAAGAGGUGGUGAAAUAGCUGCUAGAGCACAAUGAUACUCAGACAAGUAACUAGGGGCUUUAGCAGUUCGUUUUGGUCUCACUAUAGAUUUAGAAACUCUAUUAGUAUCUGAUGCAAUCACAGUUGGUUCCUCUAUAAUUUCCCUAGUCUCCCUAUUAUUUAAUGUAGAUGCAGAUGUAUGUGAUGUAUGAGAUGGAGCAAUAUUAGGAAGUGAAGAUGGUGAAUGAUGUGAGGAAGAUGCAUCAGAGAUGAAUGGAGGAGGACUAGGCAAGACAGUAUUAGGGAAAAUAUUAUCUAUAUAUUGUGGUGUAUCAAGAUAUGGAAAAAUAGUCUCAUGAAAAGUUACAUUUCUAGUAAUCGAUACUGUAUUAGUUUCUAUAUCUAGCACUUUGUAACCCUUAUAGCCAGUAGGAUACCCCAAGAAAACACAAGAAUGUGCUCUCGGAGUAAACUUUGUUCUAUCCUUUUGCAAGGUGCUGGCAUAACAAAGACAUCCAAAACUUUUUAAAGAAGUGUAAUCUGGUUUCUUUUUCAUUAAUUUUUCAAAAGGGGAAACAUUAUCAAGCAAAGGAGAUGGCAAACGAUUUACUAAGAAAACAGCAGUAGUAACACAAUCACUCCAAUAUAUCAAAGGCACAUUAGAUUGAAAAAGUAAUGCACGUGCCACAUUUAAUAGAUGUUGAUGUUUUCUUUCUACUACUGAAUUUUGCUGAGGAGUGUAUGCACAAGAAAAGAAAUGAAGCAUGCCAUGUUCCUUAACUAAUUCUUUAAAAGCUAAUUCUGGUGCAUUAUCACUCCUAAUUGCUUUAACAGUUGUUUGAAAUUGAGUAGAAACUAACUUUAGAAAUAAUGGAAAAACUGUAAGAACCUCAUUCUUAUUCUUUAACAAGUAAAGCCAAGUAACUCUUGUACAAUCAUCAACUAUUGUAAGAAAAUACUUAUAACCUUCUAUACACUCUACUGAGAAUGGACCCCAAAUAUCUAAGUGUAUCAAAUCAAAUGGACUAGAUGACAGAUGAUUAUUAAAAGGAAAAGACAGACGCUUUUGUUUAGCUAAGGGACAAAUUGAACAAUGAUCUAGACUUGAUAUAGCUACUUUUGGAAUAGAAAGUGUACCAGACAUAGAUUGUAACUUGGCAGUUGAGGGAUGGCCUAGACGAUUAUGCCAAAGAGUCCCAUCAGCUGACAAGGAUCCAGAGAAAUGAGUGACAGCAGGAGGCUUAGCAGGUGAAGAUAGGGAGUGUAUAUUCAGAAUGUAUAGAUUGUGAAAAAUGUUAGCACUCCCAAUCAUCCAUCCCUGAGAAGACUCCUGUAAAAAACAUGCAGUAGGAUAAAAGUGAGCAGAGCAUUGAUUAUCAUGUAACAAUGUGCUAACACUAAUGAGAUUAAAAUGAAAAGAUGGAACAUGCAAAACAUUGUAAAGAAUCAGAGAAUCAGAUAAAUGAAUUGUUCCAGUAUGUUGAAUAGGGAGUCUAGUUCCAUUAGGUAAAGCAACUGUAAUGUUAGAUACUAAGAAAGUUUCUUGAAAUUUUGAGAUAUCACAACAAACAUGACUAGUUGCCCCACUGUCAAUUAUCCAAGAACCACUAGGCAAAGCAUUUUGAAGUGUAGAAAGACAUUGAUGGUUGUAAGUGAGAUUAUUAUUCUCAUAUCUAAGAUUAGAAGAGAUAGUGGAAACUUUACCAGAUGAAGAUUGAGGAGCCAUGACACCAGAUUCUGUUAUAGUUGCAGAAGAAGAAACUACUGGUUCUGAACUCUGGACAGAAGUGAUCUGAUUAAUCAUAGGUUCAGAAACUUGUACCCGAGAUAACUGUUGUAUAAGAUCUUGUGCUUGUCCUGGAGUCAACUGACUCACAUCCAGAUUUACUGCAUUCAUGGUUGGAGGUGGAUAGUAUAACAUAGGACCACCAUUAUCACCAUUCAUGACUUGCACAUUAGCCACAGUCCUUGGUCUUGGUACAAAACCUUGAUUAUACUGGCCUUGAUUAGUAAACUGUCCCUGAUUUGGAAAUUGUCCUUGAUUCAUUACUGGCACUGGAUUCCUAGGAGCAGUACCCAUCUUGUUACCAUAUGGAACUGGAGUAGACGAAUUCUGAGUCUUGAAUCCUGGAGGAUAACCAUGCACUUUGAAACAAGUUUGAAGAGUGUGUCCCAUCUUCCCACAAUGAGUACACAUCGGUCUAUUAUUCCUUGGUCGAUAUGUGUUAUAAGCUGCAAUAUAUUCAUAUGGUUCCAUUCCAUAUGAACUAUUAUCACCAGUUGCAGAUGCGUCAAAAGAGCUUGAUGCCUGGAAAGCAACAUUAUCAGGCUUUACUGCAGGCUUAACCAUUCGCUGCCUUUCAUCUUGUGCUACCAUAUUAUAUGCUUCUUCUAUACUUGGAAUCGGCUUUAACAUCAGAAUGUGACGCCUAAUCUGCUCAUAACUUUCAUUCAGACCCAUUAAGAAUUUUGUAACUCUACUACGAUGCUGCAUUCCUUCCCACAGAAUAGCCGCAUUGCAUUCACAUCGGCCACAAGUACACACUGGAAGUUCUAUAUAAUUCUGAUAUUCUUCCCAUAAUGUGACUAACUCCGUAUAAUAAGCACUAACAUCCAAAGAACCCUGUUGAAUACAGCUAAGUCUCUGUUCUAUUUCAUACACCCUAGGAGCAUCGUUCUGCUUAAAGCGAGCUAAGAGAUUAUUCCAGAUUCGUUCAGCAGAAGACAUGAAUAAGAGACUAGCACCUAUUUUCUUUGAAACGGAAUUCAUGAGCCAUGUCGAGACCAUAUCGUUACAUCUGGACCACGAGCCAUAAGUCGGAUCCGUUGAAGGAGGUUGAGGUAUCGAACCAUCAACAAAUCCUAGCUUGUUACGAACAUUCAAUCCCAUCCGUACCGAUCUGCGCCAAGAAUGGAAGUCUGCGCCAGUGGUGAGACGAUCUGAGACCAAUUGUAACCCAGCAUGAUCAGUACUAUGCAGAUAGAAUGGAUUAUCAUAUAGAUCUGUAGGCGAUUGAGUUGAUUCUGCCGUAGGACGAACAGGAGGACGAGAAGAAGAUGCCGAAGUCGCCAUUGCUAUGAAGAAACUCUUGACCAAGAAAUCGAGAAAUUGAGAAAGAAAGAAGAAGAAAAACAAGAAAGACUUCAAUCGGUUGUGAACAUGAAUUGAAGAAUCACAAACACGAUUAAACAACAAGAAUCAAGAAUAAAAUGAAGAAGAUGAACAAGAUAGAGCUCAAUCGAAGAAGAACUCAUGAUGAUUCGGAUCGAGAUUGCUCUGAUACCAUAUCAGGAUCUGCUCAAGGAAGACGAAGAGCUCGAGCUAGAGAGAGAGAGUGAGAGUAAAGAGAGAAUAAAGAGAGAGAAGAAAAAGUUUGUUAUGUAUUUCAUUAAUUGUGUAUCGUGUACAUAGUUCAGUAUUUAUACAAAGUAUACUUGAUCGUAUGUAAACUAUAGUGUAUAGUGUAUUAUACAAAUACCUAAGUAUUAAUACACCUGAUAUGCUAUUAAUUAGUAACAACGCACCGACCACCAAUGAGUGCUAGCUAAUUAACAACCAUCGAUCAAGUAUACUUACAUUUUUUUUUUCAGAUGGACCAAAAAAAUAAUCCUUAUAGGUAUUGUUUGAAAAAAAAAAUGAAUUUGCUGAAUUGAUUAGUAAUUCGAGGAAAAUUUUGUUUUAUGGAAAAUAAUACUGUAUAUGUAUGAUUAAACAUUCAUUAUUGUGUAUGAAAACUUUAAAACAUCAUUCUAUCGUAGGUACGUAUUUUAUGUCAUACUUCAAUUUUUAACAUGUUCUGUUCAUCUCUAUCCCUCAUUUGUUUUAGAUGUCUUUUUUUUUUGUUAGGAGGCAUUCAAUUUUAAAUAUACUUUACGACAUUUUUUUUUAUCUAUUCUCAUCUAUCAUCAAAUAAUAUUAAAAUUAAUAAUUAAAAUUUUUUAAGACAUCCACAAUAAAAUUACUGAUGAAUAUAAUAUAGGCUUUCCUUAAAACGAUGACUCUUCCGAUUUAUCUCAAACCAAAUCUCACUGUAAGAUAUAAAAAGUACAGUACCAUACUUGGAGUACCACCAUAUCUAACUGAAGUCAAACUCGAGCUGAAUUUAUACAAAAAGUUCAUUUCAUUUUGGUCAUCAAUUCAUUCAUGAUCCCGCAAGACUAUGAUUUAUAAAAAGAAAUUAUAACUCACAUAAUCAUUCCGACGUUCAAUAGACUAAAUUAACCCAAAAAAAAAAAAAAUUAAACGGGAAAAAUAUAAAGUAAAAAUAGUGAUCAUUUCAUGGAUCAAAACAAUUGGACAAAGAUGAAGAAUUGAUCAUGGCAAUGAAAGGGAAUCCUGAUGAUGCUACUACUGUCUUUAACGGUUUCAUUUCUGUGAUCGGUAGAUAUACAGGCAACGCCUUCCCGUACAAACUCGUUGCAGAUCGAUUCAAUCCCAUGUAAUAAUCUGCGCUCGGUUUCAAAGUUAUAUUUUUAGGCGUUGAAGAUAUUCCAAGACUUAGGUCAAGAUCCUUGUGCUCAUUUCCUGAAACAAUUAUGUUUACGUUUUUUUAGCAAAUCAUGUCGUAAUGUCGAUAUGGCUAAUAUCUACAACAUAAAUACUAUAUGAAGUUGAAUGUAAUAUAUUGAAGUCUAGUAAUGUUUGUGUCAGUGUUGUUGUUGCGUUACAUUUUAGUUUAAAUUCACAUAACAUGUGUAUAUUUUUAUUUUACCAAAACAAAUUAAAUUAUGAAAGAGAAUGAUUCUGAAAGGUAAGGGUAGAUAUAGGGUUUGGUUUAAUAUGCUUAUUUACUACAUGUGUUAAAUGAAGUUUAUGGUUAGGGUUUUGGCUUCAAUUAAAUGACAAUUAUAACGAUGAUUUAUUAUGCAUAUUUAGAAUUGUGACCCUACAUUUAUAAAUUUACCUUUAUUAUGAUGGGCACCCAACUUAAUUUCUCCAGCUUCUAUCUUUCUUAUCUCAUUGCAUUUUGCUGCUGAUGCAUUCCAUUGCCUAUGAGUAUUAUAUAUUAUUCAAACACUGUUACUAAACUUACACAUUAUAUAUGUGAAUCAUAAAGUAUGCGAUAAGAAUCAAACUCAUCACUAGUGAAUAAAUUUAAUUUGUACCGGCGAGAAGAAUCAGAGGGUCAUUGUUAAUAAGUUAUUUAACAAAACAAAAUCAAAAUUUUUAUAGUAAUCGAACCUGUUUUGGAAGAGAUGGAUGUAAUCAUUUUUCAUGUAAUUGUUUUUGUAUUUAGAACCUCCUCUUGCUAAGCUUGCACUCGCUCGUCUAAGGGUUUGCACAAACUCUUCUUUACUUAAGUUCUUCAUCUGUCAUAUAUCAUUCAAAACAUCCACAGUUUUAUAUUAAUCGAUUGUCCAAAUUCUCUAGGUCUCUUAAAAUAUAUAUACACGUACUUAAACCUAAAUAAUUAUAAUUAAUUGACCUAGAUAUUAUAUAUUUGAAACAAUAAGUUUAUAUGAAAAACCUUUUCAAAGUCCUGUUUGUAAUCAUCCACGAUGAAGUUGAUAUCUGCUUGGAGUCCCCGGAAUUUGAUAGCAGCUCGGUCGUAAGCUCUGAUAUAUAUGUUUUUUUUGUUUUUUUUAAAUAGAUAAGUAUUUAUCUAGAAAAUAGAAAAUUAUUUAAAAAAUAUCCAAAAAAAUAAAAGGAAAAGAAGGCCUUAUUACACCUUGCAGCUGUGUAGGCUGUGUCGAAACCACCUGUUUUAAGCAAAAUAAAAAUAAAUAAACAAAAGACAAAACUGAAAAUCUUGCACCAUUUGUUUUUUUUAUUCAGAGUUUUCUUAUCCAAAAAAAGGUGUUUAAUUUAACCUUUAUUAUAAUAAGAAAAUUAAAGACAUAGAAAAUCUCAUUGAUCUACUUACCUAAAUAAACCUGUUUUCCACAGUCCCUACACAUAAAAAUCCCAAAGCCAAGUGUUAUUGAAAAAAGAGAAAAAAAGAUAAAAAUUAAUUUAUAACUUUAGUCUUAUAGACGAAUACCAAAUAUGAGAUUCCCAACGACCGGUUCGACGGUAAAAAGUGACGCCACGAUAGUUGGAGCUUCUGGAUCUAGGGCCACGUCGGCUCUUCUUCUUCAUCACCAACAUUUCUUGUUUAUUCCCUUGCAUCGGCGAAAGAUUCAGCCACUCACUCCCGGCGCCGGAUAAUCCACUCUCCGGAGGAGGAGGAGGAGGCAUAGGAAUGGCUUCGACGUCUUCUUUUCUUUUGAGGAUUCCAAACGUAAUCAAAGACAACUUGUUGGCUGAUGGAUCAAUGGAAUCAUCUUCUUUUUCUUGAUUGAAGAUGGAGGCUGUAGGUACUUUGCAGUCUUCUUCAUCUUCGUUAUGUGUCGACAAGAUUUUGAGGUUGAGGUCCAACAUGAUCAGUCUUUCUUGGAAAGAAGUAGACCUGCGUCGUUUGUGUGAUUAUUCCGGCGACUCUAUAGAGGAAGAGAGAGAGAGAGAGAGAUAGAAGAGAAGAGAGAGAGACUAUAAAUGGGAAAAAUAGAAAAGAACGUGGGACGUGUUCGGUGCAAUUGUCUCUAGCUACACACUUGCCUUUUCUUGCCUACUUUUCAAUCAUCCCUAUUUUUGUUCAUUAAUUGAUUGCUUUAUGUACUUGUUUUUUUCCCGAUUUAUUCAAACAUAUGUAAGAUAUCAUUAUCGAUUAAUUGUUAAAGAUAAAUAAUACUAUAUAUAUAUAUAUUAUAUUACCCAAAAAAAUCUAACUCCAUCUAUUAAUUGGUCGUCGUUCUCACAUGUUUUCAGUUUCUAGGUAUCUUGAAGUUCGAGUAUAACCCAGCUAUGUCCGAAUAUUACAACAUCUUAUGAAUAUUCGAUAUUGAAAAUUUGGUGGUGUACGGAAAUAUAAUCUUGAUGCCCACACCAAUUAAACAUGAGUACAUAUAUAUUUUAAUGUAAACAUAUAAUCUUAUAGUGUGUUAUUUAUUUUUCAGAGAUAUCCGAUAAUAUUGAAAUGACGAUACAUGAGACAUCCGAGUACGGGUCUUUUGCUUGAUAUUAUGAAUUACCGUUCAAAUGCAUAUAUAUUAUUUUCCUAUGCUAUCAACUAGAGUAAGCCAUAUUACUAUUUUCUAAUAUAUAUCAUGCAUCACGUUUUGAGAAAUUAUGAAACUUGUAUAACGAGUGGGCAAUGGGAACAUAAAUGCAAUAUGAGGAAGAUUUUCUUUAAUCUGAUGGUGGACCUGCCUGGACCAAAUCGUUAUGUUUAAUUAUUUGUACACCACAACCAAAACCAAACCAUACCAUUUUUAAUUUUGGUGUGUGAUAGAUUUGUCAAUGAAAACAAUAAUAAUAGAGUGUAAAUGGUGAACGUGUUGGGGACCUAUAAGCGUCGGUCCAAUAAAGCCAACCACCACUUUUUCUGUGUGUGGACGAGAGAGAGAGAGAGAGAGAGAGAGAGAGAGAGAGAGAGAGAGAGAGAGAGAGAGAGAGAGAGAGAGAGAGAGAGAGAGAGAGAGAGAGAUAGUUAACCUUAAUUGAAGAGAGAGUGUGACUUAACUUAUGUCAUCAGGUCCGGUCGUGACAUAAAUAAAACAUUCAGCAAUCACCAUAGUACACUAUUUGUUUAUAUGGACACGUGUAUGACUGAAAUUUCGGACAAGACUGAAUGAUAAGUUUGCGUGCAUAUCUCAGCCGUUCAGCCGUUCGUUUUCUCAAGAUUUGCUGAAAGUACAGAAACCAGAUUUUGUUUUUAAGGAAUCUUUUCUUUUCUUUCUUUUUUUAAUCCGUCCCCUGCGCCCUAAAUCUGGCCUUUCCCUAUAUGGUAAGACGAUAAUCUUGGUUUUUUUUCUUUUUUUCCAUCAACAUGUUUCCUUUCAAUUUGGUAAUAUUGUGAGAAGGAUUAAUUACUAUAUAUGGAAACACAUUGGAGAAAACAAUUAUAUAUCAAAUUUCGAUUUUGGUCACAUUGCAAGAAAGCAAACAAUUAGAUUAUCCCAUUUAUAAGUUUUACAUGUUCAGCAACUACUUAUACAGUAGGAUACUAGUAUGUUACUAGGACGUCUCAGUUCUCAAAAUAUCAUCUCAAGUUUCUUUGAUGUCAAACGGGUUUAAGGAUAGAGUUAAAUAAUGAAAUAGCUCAGAAUUUUGUAAUUCUAUUUAACAUUAACAUCUUUUAAAAUAAGCAUAGUAUAAGACGACAUUAACAACAGAGGUUGUGCUAAACAAAUUAUAUAUAUUCGACUUCGUCAUGCUUCUAAAGCGC
RNAcentral lists this long non-coding RNA (11368 nucleotides) under Capsella rubella. RNAcentral describes it as "long non-coding RNA (CRUB_LNC003369)". The record is from RNAcentral. Lineage: Eukaryota; Viridiplantae; Streptophyta; Magnoliopsida; Brassicales; Brassicaceae.